AUGGUCACUUCCUGUCCCCCAUAUAAAUCACUAGGACCCAUUUUCUUACCAACAGCUACCUUGCCACGAGAAGCUCUGCUGCCAAAGGAACGUCCAGCAGCUUCUGUCUUCUUAUCAGAGUUUUUCAUGCUUCCAGGAGAGAAGAGAAACCAUCUCACUCUCAUGCUAAGACUGAGAGAUGUGCUUCUAAAUGGAACUUGCAAUUUGCUGGAAACCGUUUUAAAAGGCAAGUAA
Molecule: long non-coding RNA, 234 nt
Filed under: Cricetulus griseus (Chinese hamster)
Lineage: Eukaryota; Metazoa; Chordata; Mammalia; Rodentia; Cricetidae
Description: lncRNA (ENSCGRG00000025644.1)
Source: RNAcentral